This 253-nucleotide ribosomal RNA is filed under the name uncultured bacterium. RNAcentral describes it as "partial 16S ribosomal RNA". It matches the Rfam family "Bacterial small subunit ribosomal RNA", at positions 524 to 776 of the family's 1533-position model. The record is from RNAcentral.
UACGUAGGGUGCAAGCGUUGUCCGGAAUUAUUGGGCGUAAAGAGCUCGUAGGCGGUUUGUCGCGUCGAAUGUGAAAUCCCGGGGCUCAACCCCGGGCCUGCAUUCGAUACGGGCAGACUAGAGUUCGGUAGGGGAGUCUGGAAUUCCUGGUGUAGCGGUGAAAUGCGCAGAUAUCAGGAGGAACACCAAUGGCGAAGGCAGCUCGCUGGAACGGUACUGACGCUGAGGCGCGAAAGCGUGGAGAGCGAACAGG